This 372-nucleotide ribosomal RNA is filed under the name Aspergillus sp. FLS-2010. Its description in RNAcentral is "eukaryotic LSU rRNA". The stretch from base 69 to 222 matches the Rfam family "5.8S ribosomal RNA". The record is from RNAcentral. Lineage: Eukaryota; Fungi; Ascomycota; Eurotiomycetes; Eurotiales; Aspergillaceae.
CCGCCGGAGACACCACGAACUCUGUCUGAUCUAGUGAAGUCUGAGUUGAUUGUAUCGCAAUCAGUUAAAACUUUCAACAAUGGAUCUCUUGGUUCCGGCAUCGAUGAAGAACGCAGCGAAAUGCGAUAACUAGUGUGAAUUGCAGAAUUCCGUGAAUCAUCGAGUCUUUGAACGCACAUUGCGCCCCCUGGUAUUCCGGGGGGCAUGCCUGUCCGAGCGUCAUUGCUGCCCAUCAAGCACGGCUUGUGUGUUGGGUCGUCGUCCCCUCUCCGGGGGGGACGGGCCCCAAAGGCAGCGGCGGCACCGCGUCCGAUCCUCGAGCGUAUGGGGCUUUGUCACCCGCUCUGUAGGCCCGGCCGGCGCUUGCCGAAC